RNAcentral lists this ribosomal RNA (492 nucleotides) under uncultured bacterium. RNAcentral describes it as "partial 16S ribosomal RNA". It matches the Rfam family "Bacterial small subunit ribosomal RNA", at positions 29 to 507 of the family's 1533-position model. The record is from RNAcentral.
AGUGAACGCUGGCGGUAGGCCUAACACAUGCAAGUCGAACGGCAGCACAGUAAGAGCUUGCUCUUACGGGUGGCGAGUGGCGGACGGGUGAGGAAUACAUCGGAAUCUACUUUUUCGUGGGGGAUAACGUAGGGAAACUUACGCUAAUACCGCAUACGACCUACGGGUGAAAGCAGGGGAUCUUCGGACCUUGCGCGAUUGAAUGAGCCGAUGUCGGAUUAGCUAGUUGGCGGGGUAAAGGCCCACCAAGGCGACGAUCCGUAGCUGGUCUGAGAGAAUGAUCAGCCACACUGGAACUGAGACACGGUCCAGACUCCUACGGGAGGCAGCAGUGGGGAAUAUUGGACAAUGGGCGCAAGCCUGAUCCAGCCAUACCGCGUGGGUGAAGAAGGCCUUCGGGUUGUAAAGCCCUUUUGUUGGGAAAGAAAAGCAGCAGGUUAAUACCACGCUGUUCUGACGGUACCCAAAGAAUAAGCACCGGCUAACUUCGUG